Molecule: ribosomal RNA, 253 nt
Filed under: uncultured bacterium
Lineage: Bacteria
Description: partial 16S ribosomal RNA
Rfam family: Bacterial small subunit ribosomal RNA
Source: RNAcentral
UACGUAGGGAGCAAGCGUUGUUCGGAAUUACUGGGCGUAAAGAGUGUGUAGGCGGUUCUCCAAGUCUGGUGUGAAAUCCCCCGGCUUAACUGGGAGGGUGCAUUAGAAACUGGAAUGCUAGAGGAUGGGAGAGGUAAGCGGAAUUCCUGGUGUAGCGGUGAAAUGCGUAGAUAUCAGGAGGAACACCUGUGGUGUAGACAGCUUACUGGACCAUUUCUGACGCUGAGGAGCGAAAGCGUGGGGAGCGAACAGG